AGGUGAUUUCAAUCAAGUCAGCUGAAAUGCACUCACUUCCAAGUGAUCGGCCUUGGUUCUGUUAAGACCAUUUUUGAAUGGGGUGUUUUAAAGGACUCUGAGAGUGUUUCCAAAGUGCUUUGGCUGGAUGAGAUACAGCAAGCCGUCGAUGAGGCCAACGUGGACGAGGACAGAGCAAAACAAUGGGUUACUCUGGUGGUUGAUGUUAAUCAGUGUUUGGAAGGAAAAAAAUCAAGUGAUAUUUUGUCUGUAUUGAAGUCUUCCACUUCUAAUGCAAAUGACAUAAUCCCGGAGUGUGCUGACAAAUACUAUGAUGCCCUUGUGAAGGCAAAAGAGCUCAAAUCUGAAAGAGUGUCUAGUGACGGUUCAUGGCUCAAACUCAACCUGCACGAAAAAUAUGACUACUAUUACAACAUUGAUUCAAAAG
This 427-nucleotide small RNA is filed under the name Pan troglodytes (chimpanzee). RNAcentral describes it as "processed transcript". Lineage: Eukaryota; Metazoa; Chordata; Mammalia; Primates; Hominidae. The record is from RNAcentral.